AACGAACGCUGGCGGCAUGCCUAACACAUGCAAGUCGAACGACACCUCCGGGUCUACUUGCGCUUGCGGGUGUCACGCGUGGGAACCUGCCCUUAUGCUCGGAAUACCUCCCCGUCAGGGGUGCUAAUACCGGAUAAUGUCUUCUAACCAAAGAUUCAUCGAGCUUGGAUGGGCCAGCGUUGGAUUAGCUGGUGGGUAGUGUAAAAGCCUACCAAGGCUAGGAUCCUUAGCGGGUUAGAGAGGAUGAUCAGCGACACUGCGACUGAGACGCGGCCCAGACUCCUACGGGAUGCAGGAGAGGGGAAUAUAGGACAAUCGGGGGGGGCAUGAUCGAGCAAGGCCGGGUAAGUGAUGUAGGCCUUAGAGAAAAAAAGCACUUUUACCCGGGAUGAUAAUGACGGUACCGGAAGAAUAAGCACCGGCUAACUCCGUG
Molecule: ribosomal RNA, 433 nt
Filed under: uncultured bacterium
Lineage: Bacteria
Description: partial 16S ribosomal RNA
Rfam family: Bacterial small subunit ribosomal RNA
Source: RNAcentral